CUUAUUAAUUUAGUUACAAGUCACAUUGAAUUGCUGUUGCAGUAAGAGGCGCUAAGCAUGUUAAAUGUUAUUUGUCACAUAUGAAAUUACGUUCUUAAUACUAUAUGAAGAUAUGAUUACUUUGUUAAAUACUUGUUGAUUGUUUUCUUUAUUAAGUUCAAUGUUGGAAGGACUUAUUUUUGCUGACAUCCUAGAAGGACCAUUCUUGCAUCAUAUUGUAGGUGAUCUGCACCCGAGCCCGAUAUCGUAGGAGAACCAUUCUUGCAUCAGAUUGGUUUAGCACAUGAACGCGUCAUCCUCGUAAUAUCAGCGAGGGGACGGAUGUAAAAUUUAAUUCUUCAUGGCGUUUUACUCUAAUGUCGUAAGAGAUGUACCUGUAGAACGUGUAUUGUUUGAUAAAUUGUACGUUUCGUACGUUGUUAUAUCAA
Dalotia coriaria is the source of this 428-nucleotide long non-coding RNA. RefSeq lists it as uncharacterized. The record is from RefSeq and is a predicted model, not a curated record. Lineage: Eukaryota; Metazoa; Arthropoda; Insecta; Coleoptera; Staphylinidae. The transcript is spliced from 3 exons.